Non-coding RNA from Phrynosoma platyrhinos (Desert horned lizard), 73 nucleotides. The record is from the annotation of a GenBank genome assembly. Lineage: Eukaryota; Metazoa; Chordata; Lepidosauria; Squamata; Phrynosomatidae.
GGCUAGUGUGGCACAGUGGUUUGAGCAUUGGACUGUGACUCUGAAAAGCAGGGUUCAAGUCCCUGCUCAGCCA